AACGAACGCUGGCGGCAGGCUUAACACAUGCAAGUCGAGCGUCUCGCAAGAGGCGCGGCAGACGGUUGCGUAACGCGUGUGGGAUGUGCCUCUUGGUUCGGAAUAACUCAGGGAAACCUGGGCUAAUACCGGAUAAGUCCGAAAGGAGAAAGAUUUAUCGCCAAGGGAGCAUCCCGCGCCCGAUUAGCUAGUUGGUAGGGUAAUGGCCUACCAAGGCAAUGAUCGGUAGCUGGUCUGAGAGGAUGAUCAGCCACACUGGGACUGAGAUACGGCCCAGACUCCUAUGGGAGGCAGCAGUGGGGAAUAUUGGACAAUGGGCGAAAGCCUGAUCCGGCCAUGCCGCGUGAGUGAUGAAGGCCUUCGGGUCGUAAAGCUCUUUCGCCGGGGAUGAUAAUGACAGUACCCGGAUAAGAAGCCCCGGCUAACUUCGUGCCAGCAGCCGCGGUAA
This 448-nucleotide ribosomal RNA is filed under the name uncultured bacterium. Its description in RNAcentral is "partial 16S ribosomal RNA". It matches the Rfam family "Bacterial small subunit ribosomal RNA", at positions 29 to 523 of the family's 1533-position model. The record is from RNAcentral.